AUGCAUGUUAAAAAAAAAAAAAAAAAAAUUCUGCUCCUCUUUCCCUUAAGGAGCAUGAAUGUAUCCAUAACAUGCUAGAGGAAAAUAAGGAGUCUUCAGGGCUGCCAGUCUUGCAGUAAAGGCUGAGUGGUAGUAUGUCUCUCCUACAUAU
Molecule: small nucleolar RNA, 151 nt
Organism: Trachemys scripta elegans
Lineage: Eukaryota; Metazoa; Chordata; Testudines; Emydidae
Product: small nucleolar RNA U109
Exons: 1
Source: RefSeq, a predicted model, not a curated record